This 468-nucleotide ribosomal RNA is filed under the name uncultured bacterium. RNAcentral describes it as "partial 16S ribosomal RNA". It matches the Rfam family "Bacterial small subunit ribosomal RNA", at positions 28 to 507 of the family's 1533-position model. The record is from RNAcentral.
GACGAACGCUGGCGGCGUGCUUAACACAUGCAAGUCGAACGGAAAGGCCCUGCUUUUGUGGGGUGCUCGAGUGGCGAACGGGUGAGUAACACGUGAGUAACCUGCCCUUGACUUUGGGAUAACUUCAGGAAACUGGGGCUCAUACCGGAUAGGAGCUCCUGCUGCAUGGUGGGCGUUGGAAAGUUUCGGCGGUUGGGGAUGGACUCGCGGCUUAUCAGCUUGUUGGUGGGGUAGUGGCUUACCAAGGCUUUGACGGGUAGCCGGCCUGAGAGGGUGACCGGCGACAUUGGGACUGAGAUACGGCCCAGACUCCUACGGGAGGCAGCAGUGGGGAAUAUUGCACAAUGGGCGGAAGCCUGAUGCAGCAACGCCGCGUGCGGGAUGACGGCCUUCUGGUUGUAAACCGCUUUCGCCUGUGACGAAGCGUGAGUGACGGUAAUGGGUAAAGAAGCACCGGCUAACUACGUG